Molecule: ribosomal RNA, 253 nt
Filed under: uncultured bacterium
Lineage: Bacteria
Description: partial 16S ribosomal RNA
Rfam family: Bacterial small subunit ribosomal RNA
Source: RNAcentral
UACGAAGGGGCUAGCGUUGUUCGGAAUCACUGGGCGUAAAGGGCGCGUAGGCGGCCGUUCAAGUCGGGGGUGAAAGCCUGUGGCUCAACCACAGAAUUGCCUUCGAUACUGGGACGGCUCGAGACCAGAAGAGGUCAGUGGAACUGCGAGUGUAGAGGUGAAAUUCGUAGAUAUUCGCAAGAACACCAGUCGGCGAAGGCGGCUGACUGGUCCGGUUCUGACGCUGAGGCGCGAAAGCGUGGGGAGCAACAGG